UUGGCCUCCUCCUCCGCCUGGGAAUGGACACCACGUGGCAUUACAAUGAUUUACUAUAAUGUAUACGGAAUAUAAAGCAUACGUAUACGGAUAAUAAGGCUUUUGGACACUGAUCUUGGAAGCUACGCAGGGUCAGGCAUGGGUCCUGACCUGGAAGUGCUGGAUGUUCUCUUUCUGCUUGGACAGCCACUCCUGCUUCUCUUUCUUGGGAGUUGACUGGUUCUCACUCAGUUCCUGCCACACAGGAAGCUGCUGAGCUCCUUCUUCUGCUGCACCUGGAUGUGCUGCUGGAACUUCUUCUCAUCGUUGGUAAACGUCUUCAGCUAAAUCAAACACGAACAUUAAGGCCGCCUGGUGUUUUUUGAGCAGCUUCUCCAUCUCCUGGGUGAAGUUGUUCCUCUGACUCUCCAGCUCUUUGUCCAGCCUCAGCCUGUGCUCAUCCAUCUCCCCUUUCAGCUUGUUCUCCAGGGCCAUCAGGUGCUUCUGAUGUUGCCGUCUCAUGCGUUUGUAUCCCGACAUCUGCUCCCGCAGCUCCGAGUCCUGCUCAUGUUCCUGCAUCUCACGGGU
Molecule: long non-coding RNA, 567 nt
Organism: Siniperca chuatsi (mandarin fish)
Lineage: Eukaryota; Metazoa; Chordata; Actinopteri; Centrarchiformes; Sinipercidae
Exons: 4
Source: RefSeq, a predicted model, not a curated record